RNAcentral lists this ribosomal RNA (496 nucleotides) under uncultured bacterium. RNAcentral's name for it is "partial 16S ribosomal RNA". It matches the Rfam family "Bacterial small subunit ribosomal RNA", at positions 29 to 507 of the family's 1533-position model. The record is from RNAcentral.
AUGAACGCUGGCGGCGUGCCUAAUCCAUGCCAGUCGAGCGAACGGACGAGAAGCUUGCUUCUCUGAUGUUAGCGGCGGACGGGUGAGUAACACGUGGAUAACCUACCUAUAAGACUAGGAUAACUUCGGGAAACCGGAGCUAAUACCGGAUAAUAUUUUGAACCGCAUGGUUCAAAAGUGAAAGACGGUCUUGCUGUCACUUAUAGAUGGAUCCGCGCUGCAUUAGCUAGUUGGUAAGGUAACGGCUUACCAAGGCAACGAUGCAUAGCCGACCUGAGAGGGUGAUCGGCCACACUGGAACUGAGACACGGUCCAGACUCCUACGGGAGGCAGCAGUAGGGAAUCUUCCGCAAUGGGCGAAAGCCUGACGGAGCAACGCCGCGUGAGUGAUGAAGGUCUUCGGAUCGUAAAACUCUGUUAUUAGGGAAGAACAUAUGUGUAAGUAACUGUGCACAUCUUGACGGUACCUAAUCAGAAAGCCACGGCUAACUACGUG